GACGAACGCUGGCGGCGUGCUUAACACAUGCAAGUCGAACGGUGAAGCGCCUUCCUUUUUGGUGGGUGUGGAUGAGUGGCGAACGGGUGAGUAACACGUGAGUAACCUGCCCCCUUCUUCUGGAUAACCGCAUGAAAGUGUGGCUAAUACGGGAUAUUCUGGGUCUGUCGCAUGAUGGGUCUGGGAAAGAUAUUGGUUCGGUGGGGGAUGGGCUCGGGGCCUGUCAUCUUGUGGGUGGGGUGAUGGCCUACCAAGGCGGUGACGGGUAGCAGGCCUGAGAGGGUGGCCGGUCACACUGGGACUGAGACACGGUCGAGACUCAUACGCGAGGCAGCAGUGGGGAAUAGUGCACAAUGGGCGAAAGCCUGAUGCAGCGACGCCGCGUGAGGGAUGGAGCCCUUCGGGUUGUGAACCUCUUUCGCCAGUGAAGCAGGCCUGCCUCGUUUGUGGGUGGGUUGACGGUAGCUGGAUAAGAAGCGCCGGCUAACUACGUG
This 494-nucleotide ribosomal RNA is filed under the name uncultured bacterium. RNAcentral describes it as "partial 16S ribosomal RNA". It matches the Rfam family "Bacterial small subunit ribosomal RNA", at positions 28 to 507 of the family's 1533-position model. The record is from RNAcentral.